Arachis stenosperma is the source of this 3762-nucleotide RNA transcript. It is a transcript of the gene named serine/threonine-protein phosphatase 7 long form homolog, with no coding region annotated. The transcript has 11 exons. The record is from RefSeq and is a predicted model, not a curated record. Lineage: Eukaryota; Viridiplantae; Streptophyta; Magnoliopsida; Fabales; Fabaceae.
AAAAAAAAUGCUGCUAACCUAAUUUUUUUUGGCGAUAUUUUAAUUUCCCUUUCCCAAAAACAAAACACUCGGCACUCAGCAGCUUCAACAAAUAAAAAAGAAAGAAAGAAAUGUUAAGAGAAGAGAGGGAGAAACGGAGAAGGAGAGGAAAGGGAGGAAGGAGCCGGGUCGGCGCUGCUGAGUUCGCCGCCGCCGUCGCGUUGCCAUGCCGUCGAAAAGCCAGAACCGCAAGAGAAAGAACUGCGAAGAGAGAGGGAGAAUGCAUCAGCUCACCGCGAAGCCAGCGCCGUCGUCGUCUUCAUCGCGGGUCUACACCGUCGCGUCUUGCCACCGCCGCCACUACUAAGCUUGCCGUCGUCGCCAUUGAAGCCGAAGAGAGAGAGUGUGUUCGCGAAGAGAGGGAGAGUGCGCGCUCACGAAGGAGAAGAACGACGAAAAGGGAAGGAGAAGCAGAAGACGAUGAACCCAGGGGAGAAGGAGGAGGUCUGUUCUCGCACCGUCCUGCUCUGUCGUCGCGGUUGCCGUCGAUUGGGGUCAAGGCCGUCGCCGUCGCACCCUGUUUCAGUCGCCAUUAUGGUUUUUUGCUGCUGCCAUUGAUAGCACUGCCGCUGGGAGGAGCCGAAAGGGGAGAGGAGGUCGCCGUCAAACACGCCGCCACUAGUUACAACCGUUUCCAAAACCGGGACAGAUUCACUGAUGAGUUUUGAUCUGCCAAAGUUGGUUUUUUUUAGAGCGAAAUCAGAGAGAACAGAAAGGAAGUAACAUUGUAAGAUUGAAAUGAAUAGGCAUAAGAGCAAAUGAGUGGUGGGUAUGCUGACAUGAAGCAGAAAACUAAAGACGAACAUGCUCUAUGUGCAAUGUUGUAGUGUUGUUGUGUUGUGUGUUCUGAAGCUCAAAAGUGGAAGGCCCAGAAGAUUCUGCAUUGCUUUGCAUUAGCGCGGCUCUCUUUUCUGAAUCCCUCUUGCACUGCAAGCUCAUCAUCCGCCACAACCUCAUUGUGCCUUUCUUGAAUCCCUCUACGCAGUUUGUAGCUGCCAUCAUCCUCCGUGCAGUUCCCACCUGCUCAAGGAGUAUUAUGGGAGUGGAGAGACAAAGAAAGUGUCAUGGAGAGAAUCACAACUCAAAGGGUUGCAUUGUUUCCUCAUUGAAAAGGAAGAAGAUAUUUUAAAGGCCUUAAUGCUCGACUUAGGAAGCAUAAAGUUGAAGCUUUUAGAGAUGAGGCUAAAUUGCCACAAAUAGCACUGCUUAGUAGUGCAGAAAUUGUUCCUGAACCUCUGGGCCUAGUCCUCAUUAUUUCAUCUUGGAAUUUCCCCUUUGGUUUAUCCUUGGAGCCACUAAUAGGAGCAGUAGCAGCUGGAAACACAGUGGUCUUAAAGCCUUCAGAGUUGUCACCAGCAUGUUCUUCCAUACUUGCCCUUGGACUUCCCAAUCAUAAGGUUAGUCCAAAAAAUCAAUGUCUCAAUUGGGCAAGACCCAGAGUCAAAAUGUCUCAUUGGUGUUCUUGACAUAUAUGGCUUUGAAAGCUUUAAGAAUAACAGGUGAACAUAAUCAUAUAUGACAAAAGAAGGGAUUGACUGGAGCUACUUAGAAUCUGUGGAUAAUCAAGAUGUACUUGAUCUAAUUGAAAAGAAACCAGGUGGAAUCAUUGCUCUUCUUGAUGAAGCUUGCUAUGAAAAAGGUAUCAGGAAUUUGUUGCCCAGAAAAUUUGAUCCGCUAGAUACCUUUAACGAGGUAGCUGCUGCGGCAUUGGCAUUGACUGGGUUUCAACUCGUUUCGCGAGUCGGCGAAAUGAGAGGUCAUUCUGCACUACUGAGUGCUUUGGUAGAACGUUGGAGGCCGGAGACGCACACAUUUCAUCUUCCGGUUGGUGAGGUGACGGUGACGCUGAAGAUGUGAGCUAUAUUCUUAGUCCCCGAUUAAUGGAGAGGCCGUUACAGGUAGAUCAGACAGCAGUCAGCAGUUUUUGGUGGAGAACUGCAUGGCGUGUUUUGGUCGGGAGCCCGGUCUGCAAGAUCACGUGUCGGGGAAGGUUAAUAUUGCAUGGGUGCGACGGUGCAGAGACACCGAGAGGUGUGAUACUCAGCAGUCUGUUGAGCGGUACGUCCGAGCGCACAUUUUCUGCGUGCUCAGAACAGUUGUGUUUCCGGAUAAGUCGACUACUUCGUUGAACUCGAAGUUUCUACCGCUACUUUGGGAUUUCGACCGCAUUUCAUCAUACAGUUGGGGGCAACCUGUCUGGCACACCUAUACAGAUCGUUGUGUCGUGCAUCACGAUACAGAUGCAAAGAGAUGGAUGGCCCCCUGAUAUUGCUUUUUGUUUGGACGUGGGAGCGUAUGCCGCUCCUGGCACCUAUACCCCGCGAUCAGCUCGGCGAUGUUGGUAUUUCACUUGCGCGACGGUGGAGUCAUUGGCGCCGACAUACAAGGUAUAUACGACGGCCUACCGCGCACUUUAGGCGAGGACUCGACGACAUGGGAGUUGACGAUUUUAUAUGGCGGCCGUAUAUAGCUGUCGAGAUUCCGGAUGUCGUCGCUGCCCAGUUGUUUAUGUGCUCCACCCAGUUGCCGCUAGUGUCAUUCGAGUGCAUAGAAUGGCACCCAACAGACCGAGUUAGGCGACAGUUCGGGAUGCAACAGCUUCCACCAGGCCCAGCGUUCGACCUUGGUCGUGAUCAUUGUAUUGGGUUGAGAGGAGCACAGAACCAUGAUUGGGAACAAUUUACAGUCGAUGGGUUGACAGGUGGAGGACCGACCGCUAUAACACAUUGUAGUUAGGCGAGGAGAUUAUUGACUUUCAUCCUCUCCCAGUGUACUACGAGUGGUACACAGAGCAGUAUGGAAUGCACCUGCGACUGUCAGACAGAGUUGCAGGUGAAGAGGUUGGCGCCGAUGAGCCACAGCAGCAACAGGAAGAACCAGCUGGCCCUCAGCAGCAAGUCCCGCCUCAGGUUCCGGCACAGGAUCACCACUUUCAGGCCCCGGCCUAUGACCAGCAGUUUCAGAUGCCGGCAUAUGACCAGCAGCAUCAGAUGCCGGUAUAUGACCAAUAUUUUCAGAUGCCUGCAUAUGACCAGCAGCAUCAGAUACCGGCAUUUGAGCAACCAUUUUAGAUGCCGGCAUAUGAGCUGCAGUUUAGUCCCUUGGUUCCAGCGAGCAGUUUAGUCCCUUGGUUCCAGCGGACAGCCUCAGUCUGUCUCAGGUCCUGAGAGAUACAGAUACAACACAUCUAUUUCCGACGCGGGAGCAGGAAGCGCCUGCUCCAACUGUGCAGUCUGCUGGUCGUCGCGCCUUAUCAGGUCAUGCUAGUGACUUCGACAUGGACACCUCUACGGGGCAUGUACAUCAUGUCUGUCCUUCCGCACCACCGCGCACCCAGUUGUUUGACUUGAAUGAAUGCCCUCAGGAGGAAGAGGAUAGUUUUGGGGGAUGACGUUCAGCACUGUUAUGACCUUGGUGGAGCGAGUGCUCCGGGGGUGACUGGUUCCUGGAUAUGUGACACUGGCAGUUCAAGCAUGACAGAUUUCGGGGAUCUGGAUGCCGGUGUGUCUCAGGGUCAUCCGUAUAGCUUACGGACACAUACUGCACCUCCGGACAAAUACACGCCGUCGUUGUAUUCGAAGAAGGCGCCGAGGAAGUAGUCAAUUGCAGUUUAUGUUGUACUGCUAGAGUUUAGUUUUGUUUUCAUUGUCAUAUUUUGUAUUCAGUGUUUUAUUCAGUAUUGUAUUAUGACUUGGUAGUGUUAAGUAUUAUUGUUGUUAUAUA